UAAAAACAACAUUAUAGGCAUUUUAAUUUAUUUAAAAAGAUGUGUUUCUUUGUGUGCUUCUUUGAUUCAAUCUGAAUCGUUGAUUCAAAUUAAUCAAAGGCCCAUGUUAGCAAUCCAUACUCAUUUCUAAUAUCCAAUCAUAAAAUAGAAAUUUAAAUAAAUAGUUAAAUAGAAAAUCAAAAAAUAUUAAAAAAAUAUCUCUUUCAAUCCAAUUGCUAGGUGCCACGUGGCAAUCUUAUCUUCUUGUGACUGGUACAUGGCUGGCAAGUGGUCCUCUCACUCCACACUCCUCUCCAACGGUACAAAAUAAAAGAA
Molecule: long non-coding RNA, 315 nt
Filed under: Lathyrus oleraceus (garden pea)
Lineage: Eukaryota; Viridiplantae; Streptophyta; Magnoliopsida; Fabales; Fabaceae
Description: Pisum sativum (pea) long non-coding RNA (PSAT_LNC006332)
Source: RNAcentral